GCGAUGAAGCGGGAGGUUGCGGCCGGUAUGGCCGGUUUUUCCGCUGAGUAUGUCCGAUUUCAAACCGGGCGACAA
This 75-nucleotide non-coding RNA is filed under the name human gut metagenome. RNAcentral describes it as "S10-Clostridia ribosomal protein leader". It matches the Rfam family "S10-Clostridia ribosomal protein leader". The record is from RNAcentral.